This 481-nucleotide long non-coding RNA is filed under the name Equus caballus (horse). RNAcentral's name for it is "lncRNA (ENSECAG00000049931.1)". Lineage: Eukaryota; Metazoa; Chordata; Mammalia; Perissodactyla; Equidae. The record is from RNAcentral.
AUGUUGUUAAUUCCUGGUUUGCCUCACCGUCCCCUAUUUUAUUUCUCAGCUCUCCUAUCAUCUGUGUAGCUAAUUCUCCACAUUAAAUUCCAUCUGUUUAAAAUACUUGGAGUGGUUUCUGAUUUUCCUGAAUGGACGUUGAUUGAGACAAUUGAGACAAUUUUUCACUUCCACUGCCAAGCACCUGGAAGAAUUUAAAAUGAAUUCCCUGGAAGAUUCCUGGAGACGGGUGGCAGGCAAAGAAGCUGUACAUGUUUAACUGUGAGGAAAGGCCCUGGCUCCUACACAACACCCACGCUGACAAGAAUGAACACGGAUUCCAUCCAGUCUGUCCUCCCGGACUCCAGUUCGUGCUUAUGGGUUCCAGCUUGAUCUUGCUCACCCCGACUUUACAUUCAUCUUCUCUUCCUGACGUCUGUCCUGUGGGCUUCAAGCUUCAGCAUGAGACACAAAGAUGGCAGCCUUGCAGCAGCUGCUUAAC